GAUGAACGCUGGCGGCGUGCCUAAUACAUGCAAGUCGAGCGGACGGGCGCUGAUCUUGCUUCUCUGAUGUUAGCGGCGGACGGGUGAGUCACACGUGGAUUACCCUCCUCUAAGACUUGAAUCACUUCGGGAAACCGUAGCUAAUACCGGAUAAUAUUUUUAACCUCAUGGUUCAAAAGUGAAUUCCGUUCUUGCUGUCACUUCUAGCUGUAUCCUCGCUGCAUGAGUUAGUUGGUACGGUAACGGCUUAACAAGGCAACAAUGCAUAGCCGAGCUGAGAGGGUGAUCGGCGACACAGGAAGUGAGACACGAUACAGAGUCCUACGGGAGGCAGAAGUAGGGAAUGGAGCGAAAUGGGGGAAAGACUGAAGGAGCAACGCCGCGUGGGUGAUGAAGGGCUUCGGAGCGUAAGACGCUGUUAGUAGUGAAGAACAUAUGUGUAAGGAACUGAGCACAUCGUGACGGUACCUAAUCAGGAAGCAACGGCUAACUACGUG
This 497-nucleotide ribosomal RNA is filed under the name uncultured bacterium. RNAcentral's name for it is "partial 16S ribosomal RNA". It matches the Rfam family "Bacterial small subunit ribosomal RNA", at positions 28 to 507 of the family's 1533-position model. The record is from RNAcentral.